Molecule: ribosomal RNA, 495 nt
Filed under: uncultured bacterium
Lineage: Bacteria
Description: partial 16S ribosomal RNA
Rfam family: Bacterial small subunit ribosomal RNA
Source: RNAcentral
GAUGAACGCUGGCGGCGUGCCUAAUACAUGCAAGUCGAGCGAACAGAUGAGGAGCUUGCUCCUCUGACGUUAGCGGCGGACGGGUGAGUAACACGUGGAUAACCUACCUAUAAGACUGGGAUAACUUCGGGAAACCGGAGCUAAUACCGGAUAAUAUAUUGAACCGCAUGGUUCAAUAGUGAAAGACGGUUUUGCUGUCACUUAUAGAUGGAUCCGCGCCGCAUUAGCUAGUUGGUAAGGUAACGGCUUACCAAGGCAACGAUGCGUAGCCGACCUGAGAGGGUGAUCGGCCACACUGGAACUGAGACACGGUCCAGACUCCUACGGGAGGCAGCAGUAGGGAAUCUUCCGCAAUGGGCGAAAGCCUGACGGAGCAACGCCGCGUGAGUGAUGAAGGUCUUCGGAUCGGAAAACUCUGUUAUUAGGGAAGAACAAAUGUGUAAGUAACUAUGCACGUCUUGACGGUACCUAAUCAGAAAGCCACGGCUAACUACG